RNAcentral lists this ribosomal RNA (479 nucleotides) under uncultured bacterium. RNAcentral describes it as "partial 16S ribosomal RNA". It matches the Rfam family "Bacterial small subunit ribosomal RNA", at positions 28 to 507 of the family's 1533-position model. The record is from RNAcentral.
GAUGAACGCUGGCGGCGUGCUUAACACAUGCAAGUCGAACGAAGCACCUUGAUUCGAUUCUUCGGAUGAAGAUCUUGGUGACUGAGUGGCGGACGGGUGAGUAACGCGUGGGUAACCUGCCUCAUACAGGGGGAUAACAGUUAGAAAUGACUGCUAAUACCGCAUAAGACCACAGCACCGCAUGGUGCAGGGGUAAAAACUCCGGUGGUAUGAGAUGGACCCGCGUCUGAUUAGGUAGUUGGUGGGGUAACGGCCUACCAAGCCGACGAUCAGUGGCCGACCUGAGAGGGUGACCGGCCACAUUGGGACUGAGACACGGCCCAAACUCCUACGGGAGGCAGCAGUGGGGAAUAUUGCACAAUGGGGGAAACCCUGAUGCAGCGACGCCGCGUGAGCGAUGAAGUAUUUCGGUAUGUAAAGCUCUAUCAGCAGGGAAGAAAAUGACGGUACCUGACUAAGAAGCACCGGCUAAAUACGUG